RNAcentral lists this signal recognition particle RNA (98 nucleotides) under Ignavibacteriales bacterium. RNAcentral's name for it is "signal recognition particle sRNA small type". It matches the Rfam family "Bacterial small signal recognition particle RNA". From Rfam's summary of the family: The signal recognition particle (SRP) is a universally conserved ribonucleoprotein involved in the co-translational targeting of proteins to membranes. Archaeal SRP consists of a 7S RNA and homologues of the eukaryotic SRP19 and SRP54 proteins. RNAcentral also lists the same sequence under 1 other name. Lineage: Bacteria; Pseudomonadati; Ignavibacteriota; Ignavibacteria; Ignavibacteriales. The record is from RNAcentral.
CGUCGGGCACCGGUUAACGUUUUAGUACCCAACCCCGUCAGGUCCGGAAGGAAGCAGCGGUAAGUAUUUAACUCGUGUAAUCGGAAAGCCCGGCAUCU